CCUGGUUUGGCUCAAUAGAUAGAGCGUCAGUCUGCGGACUGAAGGGUCUCAGGUUCGAUUCCUGUCAAGGG
Molecule: transfer RNA, 71 nt
Filed under: Myotis brandtii (Brandt's bat)
Lineage: Eukaryota; Metazoa; Chordata; Mammalia; Chiroptera; Vespertilionidae
Rfam family: tRNA
About the family: Transfer RNA (tRNA) molecules are approximately 80 nucleotides in length.
Source: Rfam by way of RNAcentral